This is a non-coding RNA of Flavobacterium fryxellicola, 87 nucleotides long. Lineage: Bacteria; Pseudomonadati; Bacteroidota; Flavobacteriia; Flavobacteriales; Flavobacteriaceae. The record is from Rfam.
ACCUAGCCCUGAUAAUAGCGAUAUCCUUUCCUUAUCUCGUUUUUUAGAACGAGAUAAGGAAAGAUUUAGCGGAUAGCAGGAAACAGC